GACAGAGGUCCCAAGCGUUAGGCGGAAUCACUGGGCUUAAAGCGUGUGUAGGCGGCCUUCUAAGUACCUUGUGAAAUCCCACGGCUCAACCGUGGAACUGCUUGGUAUACUGGUUGUCUUGGGCCAUCUAGGGGCUAGCGGAACAAACGGUGGAGCGGUGAAAUGCGUAGAUAUCGUUUGGAACGCCAAUGGUGAAAACAGCUAGCUGGGGAUGUGCCGACGCUGAGACACGAAAGUCAGGGGAGCGAACGGG
Molecule: ribosomal RNA, 253 nt
Filed under: uncultured bacterium
Lineage: Bacteria
Description: partial 16S ribosomal RNA
Rfam family: Bacterial small subunit ribosomal RNA
Source: RNAcentral